RNAcentral lists this ribosomal RNA (472 nucleotides) under uncultured bacterium. RNAcentral describes it as "bacterial SSU rRNA". It matches the Rfam family "Bacterial small subunit ribosomal RNA", at positions 28 to 502 of the family's 1533-position model. The record is from RNAcentral.
GAUGAACGCUGGCGGCGUGCUUAACACAUGCAAGUCGAACGAAGCACUUUAAUCGAUUUCUUCGGAUUGAAAUUUUAGUGACUGAGUGGCGGACGGGUGAGUAACGCGUGGGUAACCUGCCUCACACAGGGGGAUAACAGUUGGAAACGGCUGCUAAUACCGCAUAAGCGCACAGUACCGCAUGGUACAGUGUGAAAAACUCCGGUGGUGUGAGAUGGACCCGNGUCUGAUUAGCUAGUUGGCAGGGUAACGGCCUACCAAGGCGACGAUCAGUAGCCGACCUGAGAGGGUGACCGGCCACAUUGGGACUGAGACACGGCCCAAACUCCUACGGGAGCAGCAGUGGGAAUAUUGCACAAUGGGGGAAACCCUGAUGCAGCGACGCCGCGUGAGCGAAGAAGUAUUCGGUAUGUAAAGCUCUAUCAGCAGGGAGAAGAAAUGACGGUACCUGACUAAGAAGCACCGGCUAAAA